Hyaena hyaena (striped hyena) is the source of this 106-nucleotide small nuclear RNA. The record is from RefSeq and is a predicted model, not a curated record. NCBI's taxonomy places the organism in Eukaryota, Metazoa, Chordata, Mammalia, Carnivora, Hyaenidae.
GUACUUGCUUUGGCAGCACAUAUACUAAAAGCAGAAAGAUACAGAGUAGUUUAGCGUGGCCUCUGUGCAAGGAUGACAUACAAAUUUGCAAACGUUCUCUAUUUUU